This 403-nucleotide ribosomal RNA is filed under the name Fusobacteriota bacterium. Its description in RNAcentral is "Fusobacteria bacterium partial 16S ribosomal RNA". It matches the Rfam family "Bacterial small subunit ribosomal RNA", at positions 355 to 776 of the family's 1533-position model. Lineage: Bacteria; Fusobacteriati; Fusobacteriota. The record is from RNAcentral.
UGGGGAAUUUUGCACAAUGGAGGAAACUCUGAUGCAGCGACGCCGCGUGAGUGAUGAAGAUCUUCGGAUUGUAAAACUCUGUCCUUAGUGAAGAUAAUGACAGUAACUAAGAAGCAAGCCCUGGCUAAAUACGUGCCAGCAGCCGCGGUAAUACGUAUGGGGCAAGCGUUGUCCGGAAUUAUUGGGCGUAAAGGGUACGUAGGCGGUUUAAUAAGUCCUAAUUAAAAGGCUAUGGCUCAACCAUAGUAUGGUUAGGAAACUGUUGAACUUGAGUAGAUGGGGGGAAAGUGGAAUUCCAUGUGUAGCGGUGAAAUGCGUAGAUAUAUGGAGGAACACCAAUGGCGAAGGCAACUUUCUGGAAUCAAACUAACGCUGAGGUACGAAGGCGUGGGGAGCAAACAGG